GUGGGAUGGGUGGGGGGUAACGGGGGAAACUGGGGAAGUGGGGAACCGAGGGGCAACCAGGGGAAGAUGGGGUGCUGGAGGAGAGCUUGUGGGAGCCAAGGAGCACCUUGGACAUCUGGAGUCUGGCAGGAGUGAUGACGGGUGGAGGGGCUAGCUCGGGGCAGGGCUGGUGGGGCCUGAGGCCAGUGAGGAGUGUGGAGUAGGCGCCCAGGCAUCGUGCAGACAGGGCGACAUCAGCUGGGGACGAUGGGCCUGAGCUAGGGCUGGAAAGAAGGGGGAGCCAGGCAUUCAUCCCGGUCACUUUUGGUUACAGGACGUGGCAGCUGGUUGGACGAGGGGAGCUGGUGGGCAGGGGUCUGGUGCGGAGAGGGCCCACAGUGGACUUGGUGACGCUGUAUGCCCUCACCGCUCAGCCCCUGGGGCUGGCUUGGCAGACAGUACAGCAUCCAGGGGAGUCAAGGGCAUGGGGCGAGACCAGACUAGGCGAGGCGGGCGGGGCGGAGUGAAUGAGCUCUCAGGAGGGAGGCUCGUGCAGGCAGGGGUGAGGAGCGCAGCCGGCGGCGAGCGGGAGGCACUGGCCUCCAGAGCCCGUGGCCAAGGCGGGCCUCGCGGGCGGCGACGGAGCCGGGAUCGGUGCCUCAGCGUUCGGGCUGGAGACGAGGCCAGGUCUCCAGCUGGGGUGGACGUGCCCACCAGCCGCCGAAGGCCAGGACGCCAGGUCCGGUGGACGUGACAAGCAGGACGUGACAUGGUCCGGUGUGACGGCGAGGACAGAGGAGGCGCGUCCGGCCUUCCUGAACACCUUAGGCUGGUGGGGCUGCGGCAAGAAGCGGGUCUGUUUCUUUACUUCCUCCACGGAGUCGGCACACUAUGGCUGCCCUCUGGGCUCCCAGAACCCACAACAUGAAAGGUGAGGGGCUUCCUGCCACACUUGGGGUGGGGGGCACGCGAGAGGAGCUGAGUGGGACCUCACUCCUUCCCCAUCCACAGAAAUGGUGCUACCCAGCUCAAGCCUGGGCCUUUGAAUCCGGACACAAAACCCUCUAGCUUGGAAAUGAAUAUGCUGCACUUUACAACCACUGCACUACCCGACUCAGGAAUCGGCUCUGGAAGGUGAAGCUAGAGGAACCAGACCUCAUCAGCCCAACAUCAAAGACACCAUCGGAACAGCAGCGCCCGCAGCACCCACCCCGCACCGGCGACUCCAUCUUCAUGGCCACCCCCUGCGGCGGACGGUUGACCACCAGCCACCACAUCAUCCCAGAGCUGAGCUCCUCCAGCGGGAUGACGCCGUCCCCACCACCUCCCUCUUCUUCUUUUUCAUCCUUCUGUCUCUUUGUUUCUGAGCUUUCCUGUCUUUCCUUUUUUCUGAGAGAUUCAAAGCCUCCACGACUCUGUUUCCCCCGUCCCUUCUGAAUUUAAUUUGCACUAAGUCAUUUGCACUGGUUGGAGUUGUGGAGACGGCCUUGAGUCUUGGUGCGAGUGUGUGUGAGUGUGAGCCACCUUGGCAAGUGCCCGCCCAGGGCCCGGCCGCCCUCCAUCUGGGCCGGGUGACUGGGCGCCGGCUGUGUGCCCGAGGCCUCACCCUGCCCUCGCCUAGUCUGGAAGCUCCGACCGACAUCACGGAGCAGCCUUCAAGCAUUCCAUUACACCCAUCUCGCUCUGUGCCCCUCCCCACCAGGGCUUCAGCA
This 1691-nucleotide long non-coding RNA is filed under the name Pan troglodytes (chimpanzee). RNAcentral describes it as "lincRNA". The stretch from base 349 to 421 matches the Rfam family "mir-675 microRNA precursor family". Lineage: Eukaryota; Metazoa; Chordata; Mammalia; Primates; Hominidae. The record is from RNAcentral.